CGCCCCACUCCGCUGCGCCGUGUUAUAAAAAUAACGAACCCUUCAGCUCACACACAGUUAGCUUGAUGUGCAGACUGCACCGAAGGAGCAAUACACUCGACAAUGGGGGUGAAAGUAAAAGUCGAAUAUUGGUAAAUACAUGCAUUAUUUUACAUAUAUGUCCUUUUGUGUGUUUCUAACCAACAUGUAUGAGUUUUACGUCUUCUUGUUCGCGCAAAAUUCAAUUCACGAGUGUUCAAUAGCUAACGUUAGCAGUGUUAGCUUUCAGCGAGACUAACGACAGCCUGGUAACAGCUUGUGUUUUUAUGUUUUAAAUGUAUGCAUUGUGUCCAUGCAGUGGUGGAUGAGGGUACGAACCCCGCUAUCGGGAGCUCGCCAAGUCAAUUACGGAUGAGUUUCCUGAGGCGGAGGUGUCGGGCUUUGUGGGAAGACAAGGCAAGUACCGUUAAAGCGAGGAGAUGAAGCAUUUCUGUGACCCAUAGUCUACUAGUGUUUGUCUGUCUUUCGACAAGGGAGGAGUGUGGAGAUGUGAUUUGUGUAUUCUUUGUUUUGCAGGCAGCUUUGAGAUUGAAAUCAACGACCAGUUGGUUUUCUCCAAGCUUCAGCUGGGUGGCUUCCCAUACGAAGAUGAUGUGAGUAACCACACACACACUCCCACGACUGACGUUCAUGUUUUUUAACUUUUAUGUUACCAAUUUGAAGCCGUUCCUCUGAUCCACCUGUCUCGUAUAUCCCUUGAAGGGAUAUUCCGGCGUAAAAUUAAGUUAGUGUCAAACGCACUGGAACACUGAGUUAGACACCCCCUCGAAGGAUGAAUGUUGCCGACCGCUUACUUCUUUAGUUAUACCAACUCUAGUAACAACCGCACGAUAGCAAUACACAGUGGUCUGUGGAGCCACACGCUUAACCAAAAAGCCGCUCUGUAGCCACAAAUAAUGCUCAGAACAGCACCUAACUUCAUCAACAGUACAUAUAGGGUCCCAGCCAUAGUACUAGCCACCAAACAUCUUUUUAGCUUUGCCUGAUUUCUUUAGCAAAGAGACUAAACACAACUUACCCACUCUCCUCCAGAAGCCGCUUGUUUGUAGCGAGACCUCACGACUGCAGCGGGGGGACACAACUCAAGGAAGAACAUCUAUGAUCAUUUCUUCAUGGAAAUGCAAUCGGACCGAGACGCUUAGGCAGAAGAACUAGGGCGUCUGCAGUGCAAAAUGAUUUAAUAUGGUGAUUAUUACUUCAAGGAAAUGAUAAAGAAAUUAUCAUAAAUGUUCUUCCUUGAGCUGUGUCACCCCACUGUAGUCCAUAAUGGACUCGCCUGAGGUCUCCAUACAAACAAGUGGCUGCUAGAAGAGAGUAGGUGAGUUGUGUUUAGUCUCUUUGCUAAAGAAAUCAGGCAAAGUUAAAAUGAUGGUGUUUGUUGACCCGUGGCUCUCAGCCAUAGCAGGGUGCAUGUGGCUCUCUGUAUUGCUAUCUGCGGUCGUUACUAAAGUUGGUAUAAUUAGAGAAGCAAGCAGUCGGCAACAUUCAUCUUUCGAUGGGGUGUCUAACUCAGUGUUACGGUGUGUUUGACCCUAAUUUAAUUUUAUGCCGGAAUAUCCCUUUAAUCUAUCAUAGUGACUGAUUCAGUAAUCAGGUGGACACUGCAGGUCAGCAGGCUGAAGCCAGCAUGGCUCAAAGUACCUUAAGUCUUCCACAGAUUUGAGUUGUGUUUUUUUAGUCAUAAUGCUUUGCGACUGCAUUUUUGAAGGUGUUGUUUGACAACAUUAUGAUAAUAAUCAUGCCUGAUUUUUCUUUUGUGUCAUAGAUAAGACGUGUAAUGGAGGAUGCCUGUGACGGGAAACCGGUGCAGAGCAUCACCAAAAGCAGAGCGCCGUGUGUCAUUCUGUAAGCCUGCUUUACCAUCAGCAGCAUCAACAUAGGCCAGUGCAACCAUACACUGCCAGCAGCACCUUUGGACUUCCACCAUCCUUUGAAAUGGGCAGGAAUAGAAACCACAACAGAGACACUUGGCUGCUUUCUCUGAUGCAGAUCAUCAACCUCCUCUUGGCCUUCUGGCUCCCUUCUCUGUCCUUGCUGUGGACUUCCAGGCUGUUAAUGAUUAUCCUAGCCUAAAAUUUGAGGUUAGGGUAUGAUGAAUUCAUUCCUGGAGCGUCCUACUUUGAAAAGACUGAGACUGGGAGAAGAUGUCACAGAGGGGAUUUAAGGAGCUUGCUUUAAUUCUCAAACAACCUCAUUGCCUGGAAUUUUCUGACUGUCUUUUUACUAUACAUGCAGUUAUUGGUUACCUCUCUAUGCACAUGGGCCAUGCAAACAUACAUCUAAGCUUGAAAGGAAACUCUUUCUCCCUGCACUGUAAAUCUGUGCUGAACCCUAUUUUCUCUACGUUUGCAGACAUCACUGUACAGUUGUGGAAUGUGAAGCAGUUUUGAACAAUUAGCUGAUGGUAAAAUUAGUGUUGUAAUAUUCUGAAAUACUCCAAAUUAAAUGAUAAAAGCUCUUUUGUAAUUUCAAAUGGUUCCACAGCGAUCAUCAGAAGUGCUUCUGAAGACCACCAUCCACUGGUUUGUCAGCUUACACUUUUUAGAUGCCGCCUCGUUUUCCACAAAUUCUCCUGCACUUUUUCCUUAAAUGUCAAAACUGUAAACUUAAAAUUAAAGUACAGUUUGUUUAAAUACC
This is a non-coding RNA of Xyrichtys novacula (pearly razorfish), 2676 nucleotides long. The record is from the annotation of a GenBank genome assembly. NCBI's taxonomy places the organism in Eukaryota, Metazoa, Chordata, Actinopteri, Labriformes, Labridae.